This 253-nucleotide ribosomal RNA is filed under the name uncultured bacterium. RNAcentral describes it as "partial 16S ribosomal RNA". It matches the Rfam family "Bacterial small subunit ribosomal RNA", at positions 524 to 776 of the family's 1533-position model. The record is from RNAcentral.
GACAGAGGGGGCAAGCGUUGCUCGGAAUUACUGGGCGUAAAGGGCGCGUAGGCGGAAUGGCAAGUCGGUCGUGAAAUCCUUCGGCUCAACCGAAGAACGUCGAUCGAAACUGCCGUUCUUGAGGAUUGCAGAGGAGACUGGAAUUCCCGGUGUAGCGGUGAAAUGCGCAGAUAUCAGGAGGAACACCGAUGGCGAAGGCAGGUCUCUGGGCUGACACUGACGCUCAUGCACGAAAGCGUGGGGAGCAAACAGG